AGUCAGAGUAUAAGCGGUUAGUGCGGCCAGCCCGCAUGGGACAUUGCUCUGCAA
Molecule: non-coding RNA, 54 nt
Filed under: Mangrovibacter sp. MFB070
Lineage: Bacteria; Pseudomonadati; Pseudomonadota; Gammaproteobacteria; Enterobacterales; Enterobacteriaceae
Also listed under: 1 other name
Description: Xanthine riboswitch aptamer (NMT1 RNA)
Rfam family: Xanthine riboswitch aptamer (NMT1 RNA)
About the family: Later it was reported as a ncRNA that recognised Xanthine.
Source: Rfam by way of RNAcentral